This 2425-nucleotide long non-coding RNA is filed under the name Paramuricea clavata. The record is from RNAcentral. Lineage: Eukaryota; Metazoa; Cnidaria; Anthozoa; Malacalcyonacea; Plexauridae.
GGUGAACAUAUGUUUAGUGGUUGGUUAUGUGAUGGACAUUUAAAUAAUUCAGUAUCCAAAUCCGCAAAGACGUCAGUCAGAAGAAUGCAUUACUUUGACAAACUGAUAUCAAGCUAUUCCUAUCCACCCAUUGCAUACUUUUUUGACAUUGGUGGGUUUCUAUGUUUUCCUCUGUUUUGCAGACAUUUUAAGGUACGUUAUAUAAGUCAGUAUUUGUGUAAACUAUGCAAAUGAUCUAUUUUCGUUUUUAUGAUACAGACAUGCAUAUAAUUCUAUAAAGGCAAAUUCUAGUAGAAGUACGGUACCCAGGAAAUACAAGACGUGGACUUUAACUGAUGUCACAUACACGAAAACGAGGCUCUAUAGCCAAAGUGACGUACUUUCCGGAAGGGUGUAUUGGAAAUUGGCCAAUAUUUAAAACAAAACGUUGCAAAGUCCGGACCUGCCAGCCAUCAGUGUGCCAGCCCAUGCAGUAAUGCUGGAAGAGAAUCUGCAGACUUGGGGAAUAAAUUCCUUAAAAAACCUUGUGCUUUUGCAAAAAAAUCCGAAGACGAAGAUUCAGUUCUAAAUCAAACUAUACUUCUAUUUGAAAUAAAAGCAGGAAAAAACGCACAAAAAAUUAUUAACAAUAAUUUAUCAUUACUCAGUGUUAGAAAAACGUAACAAUUUAAGUCGAUUUUGUUAAACAAGGACAAAUGAUGAAGUCUAAAACUUAAUUUCCGUUUAUCUAUUUGUUAUUCUUCGCUUGUUUGUUUGUAUAAAUUUAGGAAAACGGGAGGGGGGGGGGGGGAUGUGAUUUCGUGGGCUUGUAUUUAAAAAAAAAGGCCCUGGUCAUGUGUUUUUACCCUCUUCAAAUUCAUUCUGUUGGCAGAAUUGGCAGACAAUUAACGUCGUUGUUAAGACUGUAUGCAUGUUAAGGAAAAAGUAUAGAUUAUAAUUAGUGUUUAUAUUUUUAAGUUGAUAUAUAAAUCCAAUAAAUUCGGAUAAACAUGAAUCAGGUGACUUUCGAGCCUUCUGAUCAAAGUCAUUUGAACUGGAUUGAAAGUCAAUAGAAACUAGAAAGAUAUAAUUAACAUACCGUAAACCUCCGAAUAUAAGCCCACCCGAAUGUAUAUGUGUGUAUAUAUAUAUAUAUAUAUAUAUAUAUAUAUAUAUAUAUAUAUAUAUAUAUAUAUAUAUAUAUAUAUAUAUAUAUAUAUAUAUAUAUAUAUAUAUAUAUAUAUAUAUAUAUAUAUAUAUAUAUAUAUAUAUAUAUAUAUAUAUUGGGAACGUUUGAUAUAUCAAGAGUGCAGGGACACAAUAAUUAAAAUCCUUAAACUGUUUGACUCAUUGACGCAAGCUAGUGCAUCCAUGCAAUUAUAACUCCCCACCUACAGUUAAGUUUAUUGUUGACUUUCAGCUGCCGGAAACUUAGAGUUUAUUUGCACGACUAGAAUCAUAUGUUCUGUGAUCCAAAACUGAAUUUUCAGGAUUAUACAUUCAUUUUAUUAUUACUGAAAACAUCAGCUGGCAAAGCCAAAGGUUUUUGCAAGUUAAUAAAACGGCAUGGGAAAAAGAGCUUAAAAAAUACAAAAUACAUAAGUUAAAUAGUUUUCUGAUUCACACAUUACAACAUAAACCAAACUGAACAUUUUUCUAUGUAUAAUCUAAUGAUAGAGUAUUUUUUCUAGAGUCAAGUAGUAAGAAUGACCCCUCAUACAUUGAUUGCACGUGAGGUGUUGAAGAAAUGUUUUCUUAUCAUCCAAGAAUAUUUUCCUGACAAUAUCUGCUAUUUUGAAGAAUCUACAUCCGCAGAUUACAAUCAUUCUCAUAUGAAAUGUCACUUAUCUUCAGGAUAAGCCCCUGAAAUACACUUCCCAAUUCAGUUGGCGAGUGUGGUCUGCAGGCAUUCAAUGAGCCAAAGUAAGCAGUUUGAGCUUCAUAUUGAUACGUUAGACGACAAAAUUAGCCAUGCAGGGCAAUGAUUUUUCUAGAAAUGCAAAAUUAUUCUUUUGACAUAACAAAGUUUUGAGCGAUGGAAAUGGAGGAAACUGCAAAUUCUGCCAGGAAAAUCUGGUUCUGCCGUUGAGCUCAAACGUGGAGCAUAAACUCCUCAAUAUAACACAGCAUCACAUUGUGGCUAUUAGCAUGGGAAAUAAAAUAUUCUGUAUAUAUUAAACUGCAAUUGGACAAGAGCAAAGCAUUUAAAACAAUCACUGUACAUAGAGAGUAUAAUAAUAACAUAUUUAUCCAAAACUUAUUUAUAAGUUAUACCCAAAACUUAUUUAUGUAUAUAUUAUAAUAAUAACAUAUUUAUCCAUAACUUAUUUGAAAACACAAAAGAAAUCAUGACCGUGAAGGAGUUUGUAUAUAUCUGAUACAAAACCAUGCUGAUUUACAUAAACUUUAAAUUCAAUUUUCUCACCUAAUAUCAUUCAUUAGCGUU